GCCGGGUGUGGUGGCGUGCACCCAUAGUCCCAGCUACUCAGGAGGCUGAGACAGGAGAAUUGCUUGAUCCCAGGAGGCAGAGGUUGCAGUGAGCCGAGAUGGAGCCACUGCACUUCAGCCUGGGUGACAGAGCAAGACUCUGUCUCAA
This is an unclassified non-coding RNA of Macaca fascicularis (crab-eating macaque), 148 nucleotides long. It matches the Rfam family "Metazoan signal recognition particle RNA". From Rfam's summary of the family: The signal recognition particle (SRP) is a universally conserved ribonucleoprotein. It is involved in the co-translational targeting of proteins to membranes. NCBI's taxonomy places the organism in Eukaryota, Metazoa, Chordata, Mammalia, Primates, Cercopithecidae. The record is from Ensembl.